AACGAACGCUGGCGGCAUGCUUAACACAUGCAAGUCGAACGAGACCUCCGGGUCUUGUGGCGCACGGGUGCGUAACGCGGGGGAACUUGCCCGUAGGUUCGGAAUACCUCCCUGUAAGGUGUGUUAAUACCGGUUAAUGUCUUCGGACCAAAGAUGUAUGGCUUUUGGAUGGGCCCUCGUUGGUUUAGCUAGUUGGUAGGGUAAAAGCCUAUCAAGGCGAGGAUGCAUAGCUGGUCUGAGAGGAUGCUCAGCAACACUGGAACUGAGACACGGACCCGACUGGUACGGAGGGCAGCAGUAGGGAAUAUUAUGCGAUGGGCGAAAGCCUGAUCCAGCCGUGCGGCGUGAGUGAUGAAGGCCUUAGGGUUGUAAAGCUCUUUUAGCCGGGAUGAUAAUGACGGUACCGGGAGAAUAAGCACCGGCUAACUACGUG
This 433-nucleotide ribosomal RNA is filed under the name uncultured bacterium. RNAcentral's name for it is "partial 16S ribosomal RNA". It matches the Rfam family "Bacterial small subunit ribosomal RNA", at positions 29 to 507 of the family's 1533-position model. The record is from RNAcentral.